RNAcentral lists this ribosomal RNA (344 nucleotides) under uncultured bacterium. RNAcentral's name for it is "bacterial SSU rRNA". It matches the Rfam family "Bacterial small subunit ribosomal RNA", at positions 32 to 369 of the family's 1533-position model. The record is from RNAcentral.
AAUCAACGCUGGCGGCGUGCCUCAGACAUGCAAGUCGAACGAGUUAAAGCUCUCUUCGGAGAGUGCAUAAAGUGGCGCACGGGUGAGUAACACGUAAGUAAUCUACCUUCGAGUGGGAAUAACGUCCGGAAACGGACGCUAAUACCGCAUAACGCAGCGGCAUCGCAAGAUGACAGUUGUUAAAGAUUUAUCGCUUGAAGAGGAGCUUGCGGCAGAUAGCUUGUUGGUAAGGUAACGGCUUACCAAGGCUACGAUCUGUAUCCGGUCUAAGAGGACGGUCGGACACACUGACACUGAAUAACGGGUCAGACUCCUACGGGAGGCAGCAGUCGGGAAUUUUGGGC